This 269-nucleotide unclassified non-coding RNA is filed under the name plant metagenome. RNAcentral describes it as "partial contains small subunit ribosomal RNA, internal transcribed spacer 1, and 5.8S ribosomal RNA". The record is from RNAcentral.
UUUCCGUAGGUGAACCUGCGGAAGGAUCAUUAAUGAGUUGUCAUGGGGUUCGAUGCUGGCAGCCAAUUUAUGGAUGCAUGUGCUUGCCCUAACAAUCAUCUUCCAAACACCUGUGCACAUUUUUGAGGGAGUCUUGAGUUGGUUGCCGCUCUUGGGUGAUUUUCUCACAUUCCCUUAAAUCAUUAUACGCUAUUAACAAUGUUGAACGUGCUCUGUGCCGCAAGGCUAUUAAUAUAAUACAACUUUUAACAACGGAUCUCUUGGCUCUC